AACGAACGCUGGCGGCAUGCCUAACACAUGCAAGUCGAACGAGACCUUCGGGUCUAGUGGCGCACGGGUGCGUAACGCGUGGGAACCUGCCCUUAGGUUCGGAAUAACUCCCCGAAAGGGGUGCUAGUACCGGAUAAUGUCUUCGGACCAAAGAUUUAUCGCCUUUGGAUGGGCCCGCGUUGGAUUAGCUAGUUGGUAGGGUAAAAGCCUACCAAGGCGACGAUCCAUAGCUGGUCUGAGAGGAUGAUCAGCCACACUGGGACUGAGACACGGCCCAGACUCCUAGGGGAGGCAGCAGUGGGGAAUAUUGGACAAUGGGCGAAAGCCUGAUCCAGCAAUGCCGCGUGAGUGAUGAAGGCCUUAGGGUUGUAAAGCUCUUUUACCCGGGAUGAUAAUGACAGUACCGGGAGAAUAAGCUCCGGCUAACUCCGUG
This 433-nucleotide ribosomal RNA is filed under the name uncultured bacterium. RNAcentral describes it as "partial 16S ribosomal RNA". It matches the Rfam family "Bacterial small subunit ribosomal RNA", at positions 29 to 507 of the family's 1533-position model. The record is from RNAcentral.